GUUUUUUGUUUCUUUUUU
Molecule: small RNA, 18 nt
Filed under: Arabidopsis thaliana (thale cress)
Lineage: Eukaryota; Viridiplantae; Streptophyta; Magnoliopsida; Brassicales; Brassicaceae
Description: ATSL071170
Source: RNAcentral